UUUUAACUAUUUUGAAAUAAGGUUUUGAUUUUUUAGAAAAUUAAUUUUUUUUCUAAAUAAAACUUUGAUUUUGCAAAAAUAAAAAAUAAAAAAAUAAAAAUUCCGGCCACCGUACGUGGCGGCUGCACCACCGAGGCCGGAGAGCCCAACGGCUCUCCGAUGGUAGAGCCAUAGCCAACAUAGAAGUUGGAAGAAAAAGAGGAAGAUGUUUUUUUUUUGAAAAACAAUGAGUUUAAAAUGAAAGAAUGAAUAUUUUUUUUCAUUUAUAGGUGCUAAAAAUGAGUAAUUUAUUCUCACCCCUUACUUUUUAAAUUUUAAAAAAAAAUCCCUUUUUUAUAGCACCACCCUUGCUCACUGACCUAUUUACACCCGUAACCCUUUUAUUUAUUUAAACAUUCGAUUUAAUUCAAAAUUUAAAAAUUAAAAGCAAAUAAAUUGCUACAUCAGUCCUCUGUCUUCAACAUUUUUUAUCUUUUUGUCCUAAAAUCAAGCUAUGUCAUUUUGUUUCCAUCUUUAAUAAAUAAUUUACACUUAUAUCUUCCAUUUCACUUGCAUUUAUACAUUAUAUAUUUAAUGUUAAUUAUGCACUUUAUUUUAAUGUUUUCU
This 606-nucleotide long non-coding RNA is filed under the name Gossypium barbadense (sea-island cotton). RNAcentral's name for it is "long non-coding RNA (GBAR_LNC017327)". The record is from RNAcentral. Lineage: Eukaryota; Viridiplantae; Streptophyta; Magnoliopsida; Malvales; Malvaceae.